CGUAGCCCAUCCAGUUACAAUCGGCUAUGUUCGCAGGGACAAACGUGCAGGCCCAAGCCUCUCGCGAAGCUUAUAAAGUGGGGUCGCCGCUUGACAACAGGAGCAAAAUCUCUGUGUUCAGCAAAACCCGGGUCGGGUUACACUCCUUUGGUCGAGGAGCCUAUCCAUGAAAAGUCGGUGACAGUGCCAAAGGGACAUUUGGCGAUUUAUGUGGGUCAAAAGGAUGGUGAUUUCCACAGAGUUUU
RNAcentral lists this unclassified non-coding RNA (245 nucleotides) under Hevea brasiliensis (rubber tree). Lineage: Eukaryota; Viridiplantae; Streptophyta; Magnoliopsida; Malpighiales; Euphorbiaceae. The record is from RNAcentral.